UACGAAGGGUGCAAGCGUUACUCGGAAUUACUGGGCGUAAAGCGUGCGUAGGUGGUUGUUUAAGUCUGUUGUGAAAGCCCUGGGCUCAACCUGGGAACUGCAGUGGAAACUGGACAACUAGAGUGUGGUAGAGGGUAGCGGAAUUCCCGGUGUAGCAGUGAAAUGCGUAGAGAUGCGGAGGAACACCGAUGGCGAAGGCAGCCCCCUGGGCUGACACUGACGCUCAGGCACGAAAGCGUGGGGAGCAAACAGG
This 253-nucleotide ribosomal RNA is filed under the name uncultured bacterium. RNAcentral describes it as "partial 16S ribosomal RNA". It matches the Rfam family "Bacterial small subunit ribosomal RNA", at positions 524 to 776 of the family's 1533-position model. The record is from RNAcentral.